This 322-nucleotide ribosomal RNA is filed under the name uncultured bacterium. RNAcentral describes it as "bacterial SSU rRNA". It matches the Rfam family "Bacterial small subunit ribosomal RNA", at positions 187 to 508 of the family's 1533-position model. The record is from RNAcentral.
GGCAUCAAUUGAUAUUGAAAACUCCGGUGGAUAAAGAUGGGCACGCGCAAGAUUAGAUAGUUGGUGAGGUAACGGCUCACCAAGUCGAUGAUCUUUAGGGGGCCUGAGAGGGUGAUCCCCCACACUGGUACUGAGACACGGACCAGACUCCUACGGGAGGCAGCAGUAAGGAAUAUUGGACAAUGGGUUAGCGCCUGAUCCAGCCAUCCCGCGUGAAGGAUUAAGGACCUAUGGUUUGUAAACUUCUUUUGUACAGGGAUAAACCUACCCUCGUGAGGGUAGCUGAAGGUACUGUACGAAUAAGCACCGGCUAACUCCGUGC